RNAcentral lists this ribosomal RNA (301 nucleotides) under uncultured bacterium. Its description in RNAcentral is "partial 16S ribosomal RNA". It matches the Rfam family "Bacterial small subunit ribosomal RNA", at positions 509 to 807 of the family's 1533-position model. The record is from RNAcentral.
CAGCCGCCACGGUAAGACGGAGGGUGCUAGCGUUGUUCGGAAUCACUGGGCGUAAAGGGCGCGUAGGCGGCCUGUUAAGUCGGAUGUGAAAGCCCGGGGCUCAACCCCGGAACUGCAUCCGAGACUGGCAGGCUUGAGACCGGGAGAGGAGGGUGGAAUAUCCAGUGUAGAGGUGAAAUUCGUAGAUAUUGGAUGGAACACCGGUGGCGAAAGCGGCUCUCUGGCCCGGAUCUGACGCUGAGGCGCGAAAGCGUGGGGAGCAAACAGGAUUAGAUACCCCGGUAGUCCCUGUCUCUUAUAC